Molecule: transfer RNA, 69 nt
Filed under: Erpobdella testacea
Lineage: Eukaryota; Metazoa; Annelida; Clitellata; Hirudinida; Erpobdellidae
Description: tRNA-Leu
Source: RNAcentral
GAUAUAAUGGCAGAUUAGUGCAUUAGGUUUAAACCCUAAAAAUGAAUAAUAAUAAUAAUUCUUGUAUCA